RNAcentral lists this long non-coding RNA (1041 nucleotides) under Salmo salar (Atlantic salmon). Its description in RNAcentral is "lncRNA (ENSSSAG00000120203.1)". Lineage: Eukaryota; Metazoa; Chordata; Actinopteri; Salmoniformes; Salmonidae. The record is from RNAcentral.
UUUUGCACUGGUAGUAUUCUUAAGAAGGUCUGCAUUCUGCACUGGUAGUAUUCUUAAGAAGGUCUGCAUUCUGCAAUGGUAGUAUUCUGAGGAAGGUCUGCAUUCUGCACUGGUAGUAUUCUGAGGAAGGCCUGCGUUCUGCACUGGUAGUAUUCUGAGGAAGGUCUGCGUUCUGCACUGGUAGUAUUCUUAAGAAGGUCUAGAAUCUGCACUGGUAGCAUUCUGAGGAAGGUCUGCGUUCUGCACUGGUAGUAUUAUGAGUUCUGUCGGCAUUAUGCUCUGGUAGUAUUCUGAGGAAGGUCUGUAUUCUGAACUGAUAGUAUUCUGAGGAAGGCCUGCGUUCUGCACUGGUAGUAUUCUGAGGAAGGUCUGCAUUCUGCAAUGGUAGUAUUCUUAGGAAGGUUUGCAUUCUUAGAAUAAAGUUGAAAGAGAAUGGAGGAAUUUCUGAAUUGGAAUGAUUCCAAAAGUGUUCCCAUUUUCCUAAUAGGCUAAUAUACAGUAAUAAAACGUGUUUUCUUUAUGAUAUUUAUUACCCAUACACAUGUAAUUGUUUUAAGAUAGUAAUAACAAUGACCAUCAAGCUAUUAAGUAAUAAAAAUGUGUCUGUCAUCAUACAGAUUGGGGUGGAUAAAGGGGUGAUCAAGCAGCGCUCCACCUCCAUUCUUUGUCCCGUCUCCCCGACACUGCCAGCUUUCCCCUGGUACAACCUCCACAGGUUCCUCGCCAACAGCCAUUCGGAGCCAGACCAGCAUGCUGCCGGCACCCAGAAGGACCCAUCUAAGAAACAUUCAAUCUUUCCCCCUCUGGACACACAGAGCUGCACCUCCCCUGAAAGAUGGCCUCAUUCAACGUCCAAGACGUCACACCCACACGCUUCACACCGAUUUGCUGUCCCAUCCCACCCCCUGGUUUCCGGCCCUCCUGCCCGGAUGAGACAGACCCAUCCGCAUGUCCACCCCAGGUCCCCAUUGACUGGCCAGGCAAAGGUCAAGGAUGAGGUCAAGAGGCCAGAGAUUGCAUCGUCUGAGGAAUUGUCUGAGG